UUGUUCCAUCCAUUCUAUUACCAUACAAGGGUGCAAGGAGACACACAACGAAGCUUGGUGCGUUCGGAAGUCGAAGGACCGCUCUCGUUUUCUUUUAUCCACCACUUUUCUACACUCGAACUCCCCUAGCCUUGUGUUAGUAGGCGGAUAAACAAUUGAGGGAUUGUGUUAAUGUUUAAAAACGCACCCGAAGGUGAAGUUGCUUAGUCUUGAUUGCGAAUAGGAAGCAUGCUCACUUAGGACCGGACG
RNAcentral lists this long non-coding RNA (249 nucleotides) under Helianthus annuus (common sunflower). Its description in RNAcentral is "sRNA HanXRQr2_Chr11g0499781". Lineage: Eukaryota; Viridiplantae; Streptophyta; Magnoliopsida; Asterales; Asteraceae. The record is from RNAcentral.